RNAcentral lists this ribosomal RNA (433 nucleotides) under uncultured bacterium. RNAcentral's name for it is "partial 16S ribosomal RNA". It matches the Rfam family "Bacterial small subunit ribosomal RNA", at positions 29 to 507 of the family's 1533-position model. The record is from RNAcentral.
AACGAACGCUGGCGGCAUGCCUAACACAUGCAAGUCGAACGAGACCUUCGGGUCUAGUGGCUCACGGGUGCGUAACGCGUGGGAACCUGCCCUUAGGUUCGGAAUACUACCCCGAAAGGGGUGCUAAUACAGGAUAAUGUCCUCGGACCAAAGAUUUAUCGCCUUUGGAUGGGCCCGCGUUGGAUUAGCCAGUUGGUAGGGUAAAAGCCUAUCAAGGCGACGAUCGAUAGCUGGUCUGAGAGGAUGAUCAGCCACACUGGGGGUAGGACGCGGCCCGGAAUCCUACGCGAGGGGGCAAUGGGGAAUAUUGGACAAUGGGGUAAGGCCUGAACCAGCAAUGCCGCGUGAGUGAUGAAGGCCGUAAGGUUGUAAAGCUCUUUUACCCGGGAUGAUAAUGACAGUACCGGAAGAAUAAGCACCGGCUAACUCCGUG